This 370-nucleotide unclassified non-coding RNA is filed under the name uncultured bacterium. RNAcentral's name for it is "contains 16S-23S intergenic spacer region". The record is from RNAcentral.
UCCGGUUUGUCACCGGCAGUCUCCCUAGAGUGCCCUUGCGUAGCAACUAGGGACAAGGGUUGCGCUCGUCGCGGGACUUAACCCAACAUCUCACGACACGAGCUGACGACAGCCAUGCAGCACCUGUGCUCCGAUUCCCUUUCGAGCACUCCCCGAUCUCUCAGGGAUUCCAGCCAUGUCAAGGGUAGGUAAGGUUUUUCGCGUUGCAUCGAAUUAAUCCACAUCAUCCACCGCUUGUGCGGACCCCCGUCAAUUCCUUUGAGUUUCAAUCUUGCGAUCGUACUUCCCAGGUGGAUUACUUAAUGCUUUCGCUCAGACACCAACAGUGUAUCGCUGAUGUCGAGUAAUCAUCGUUUAGGGCGUGGACUAC